GCCCGGGUGGUGGAAUUGGUAGACGCAGGGGACUCAAAAUCCCCCGCCGCAAGGCGUGCCGGUUCGAUUCCGGCCCCGGGCA
Molecule: transfer RNA, 82 nt
Filed under: Paracidovorax valerianellae
Lineage: Bacteria; Pseudomonadati; Pseudomonadota; Betaproteobacteria; Burkholderiales; Comamonadaceae
Also listed under: 2 other names
Description: Acidovorax valerianellae tRNA
Rfam family: tRNA
About the family: Transfer RNA (tRNA) molecules are approximately 80 nucleotides in length. Their secondary structure includes four short double-helical elements and three loops (D, anti-codon, and T loops).
Source: Rfam by way of RNAcentral